RNAcentral lists this ribosomal RNA (697 nucleotides) under uncultured bacterium. RNAcentral's name for it is "bacterial SSU rRNA". It matches the Rfam family "Bacterial small subunit ribosomal RNA", at positions 8 to 694 of the family's 1533-position model. The record is from RNAcentral.
AGAGUUUGAUCCUGGCUCAGAUUGAACGCUGGCGGCAGGCCUAACACAUGCAAGUCGAACGGUAACAGGAAGAAGCUUGCUUCUUUGCUGACGAGUGGCGGACGGGUGAGUAAUGUCUGGGAAACUGCCUGAUGGAGGGGGAUAACUACUGGAAACGGUAGCUAAUACCGCAUAACGUCGCAAGACCAAAAAGGGGGACCUUCGGGCCUCUUGCCAUCGGAUGUGCCCAGAUGGGAUUAGCUAGUAGGUGGGGUAACGGCUCACCUAGGCGACGAUCCCUAGCUGGUCUGAGAGGAUGACCAGCCACACUGGAACUGAGACACGGUCCAGACUCCUACGGGAGGCAGCAGUGGGGAAUAUUGCACAAUGGGCGCAAGCCUGAUGCAGCCAUGCCGCGUGUAUGAAGAAGGCCUUCGGGUUGUAAAGUACUUUCAGCGGGGAGGAAGGGAGUAAAGUUAAUACCUUUGCUCAUUGACGUUACCCGCAGAAGAAGCACCGGCUAACUCCGUGCCAGCAGCCGCGGUAAUACGGAGGGUGCAAGCGUUAAUCGGAAUUACUGGGCGUAAAGCGCACGCAGGCGGUUUGUUAAGUCAGAUGUGAAAUCCCCGGGCUCAACCUGGGAACUGCAUCUGAUACUGGCAAGCUUGAGCCUCGUAGAGGGGGGUAGAAUUCCAGGUGUAGCGGUGAAAUGCGUAGA